GACGAACGCUGGCGGCGUGCCUAAUACAUGCAAGUCGAGCGCAGGAAGCCGUCUGAACCCUUCGGGGGGACGACGGUGGAAUGAGCGGCGGACGGGUGAGUAACACGUAAAGACCCUGCCCAUAGGUCUGGGAUAACCACGAGAAAUCGGGGCUAAUACCGGAUGUGUCAUCGGACCGCAUGGUCCGAUGAUGAAAGGCGCUCCGGCGUCGCCCAUGGAUGGCUUUGCGGUGCAUUAGCUAGUUGGUGAGGUAACGGCCCACCAAGGCGAUGAUGCAUAGCCGACCUGAGAGGGUGAUCGGCCACACGGGGACUGAGACACGGCCCAGACUCCUGCGGGAGGCAGCAGUAGGGAAUCUUCCACAAUGGACGAAAGUCUGAUGGGGCAACGCCGCGUGAACGAUGGGGGCUUUCGGGUCGUAAAGUUCUGUUGUAAGGGAAGAACAAGUGCCGCAGGCAAUGGCGGCACCUUGACGGUACCUUGCGAGAAAGCCACGGCUAACUACGUGCCAGCAGCCGCCGUAA
RNAcentral lists this ribosomal RNA (524 nucleotides) under uncultured bacterium. RNAcentral describes it as "partial 16S ribosomal RNA". It matches the Rfam family "Bacterial small subunit ribosomal RNA", at positions 28 to 523 of the family's 1533-position model. The record is from RNAcentral.